GAUGAAGAACGUAGCGAAAUGCGAUAAGUAAUGUGAAUUGCAGAAUUCAGUGAAUCAUCGAAUCUUUGAACGCACAUUGCGCCCCUUGGUAUUCCGAGGGGCAUGCCUGUUCGAGCGUCAUUAUAACCCCUCAAGCUCAGCUUGGUGUUGGGGCCUGCUGCACUGGCAGCCCUUAAAAUCAGUGGCGGCGCCAUCUGGCUCUAAGCGUAGUAAUCCUUCUCGCUAUGGAGUCCUGGUGGAUGCUUGCCAUCAACCCCCAAUUUUUCUAUGGUUGACCUCGGAUCAGGUAGGGAUACCCGCUGAACUUAAGCAUAUCAAUAAGCGGAGGA
RNAcentral lists this unclassified non-coding RNA (329 nucleotides) under soil metagenome. RNAcentral's name for it is "partial contains 5.8S ribosomal RNA, internal transcribed spacer 2, and large subunit ribosomal RNA". The stretch from base 1 to 120 matches the Rfam family "5.8S ribosomal RNA", at positions 35 to 154 of the family's 154-position model. The record is from RNAcentral.